CCUACGGGUGGCUGCAGUCGAGAAUCAUUCACAAUGGGGGAAACCCUGAUGGUGCGACGCCGCGUGGGUGAAGGAGUGCUUCGGCAUGUAAAGCCCUAUCGGCAGGGAAGAAGCAAGACGGUACCUGACUAAGAAGCCCCGGCUAACUACGUGCCAGCAGCCGCGGUAAUACGUAGGGGGCGAGCGUUAUCCGGAUUCACUGGGUGUAAAGGGAGCGUAGACGGCCAUGCAAGCCAGGGGUGAAAGCCCGGGGCCCAACCCCGGGACUGCCCUUGGAACUGCAUGGCUGGAGUGCGGGAGGGGCAGGCGGAAUUCCUGGUGUAGCGGUGAAAUGCGUAGAUAUCAGGAGGAACACCGGCGGCGAAGGCGGCCUGCUGGACUGCGACUGACGUUGAGGCUCGAAAGCGUGGGGAGCGAACAGGAUUAGAUACCCUGGUAGUC
RNAcentral lists this ribosomal RNA (441 nucleotides) under uncultured bacterium. RNAcentral describes it as "partial 16S ribosomal RNA". It matches the Rfam family "Bacterial small subunit ribosomal RNA", at positions 338 to 795 of the family's 1533-position model. The record is from RNAcentral.